RNAcentral lists this ribosomal RNA (251 nucleotides) under uncultured bacterium. Its description in RNAcentral is "partial 16S ribosomal RNA". It matches the Rfam family "Bacterial small subunit ribosomal RNA", at positions 57 to 305 of the family's 1533-position model. The record is from RNAcentral.
GCAAGUCGAGGGGUAACAUUGUAGCUUGCUACAGAUGACGACCGGCGCACGGGUGCGUAACGCGUAUGAAACCUGCCUUUUACAGAGGGAUAGCCCAGAGAAAUUUGGAUUAAUACCUCAUAGUCUUCGCUUAACGCAUGUUAAAUGAAGUAAAGUUUCGGCGGUAAAAGAUGGUCAUGCGUGACAUUAGCUAGUUGGUGAGGUAACGGCUCACCAAGGCGACGAUGUCUAGGGGUUCUGAGAGGAAGGUC